GGGUAGCGUAACACGUGAGCAACCUACCGAAAUGAGGGGGAUAGCCGGCCCAACGGCCGGGUAAUACCGCAUACGCUAGAGACCAGGCAUUUGGACUCUAGGAAACCUCCGGGGCAUUUCGAGGGGCUCGCGGCCUAUCAGCUAGUUGGUGAGGUAACGGCUCACCAAGGCGACGACGGGUAGCUGGUCUGAGAGGAUGUCCAGCCACACUGGGACUGAGACACGGCCCAG
This 231-nucleotide ribosomal RNA is filed under the name uncultured bacterium. Its description in RNAcentral is "partial 16S ribosomal RNA". It matches the Rfam family "Bacterial small subunit ribosomal RNA", at positions 104 to 334 of the family's 1533-position model. The record is from RNAcentral.